Molecule: ribosomal RNA, 293 nt
Filed under: Chromobacterium violaceum
Lineage: Bacteria; Pseudomonadati; Pseudomonadota; Betaproteobacteria; Neisseriales; Chromobacteriaceae
Description: partial 16S ribosomal RNA
Rfam family: Bacterial small subunit ribosomal RNA
Source: RNAcentral
UGACAUGUACGGAACUUGCCAGAGAUGGCUUGGUGCCCGAAAGGGAGCCGUAACACAGGUGCUGCAUGGCUGUCGUCAGCUCGUGUCGUGAGAUGUUGGGUUAAGUCCCGCAACGAGCGCAACCCUUGUCAUUAGUUGCCAUCAUUCAGUUGGGCACUCUAAUGAGACUGCCGGUGACAAACCGGAGGAAGGUGGGGAUGACGUCAAGUCCUCAUGGCCCUUAUGAGCAGGGCUUCACACGUCAUACAAUGGUCGGUACAGAGGGUUGCCAAGCCGCGAGGUGGAGCUAAUCU